Acinonyx jubatus (cheetah) is the source of this 1502-nucleotide long non-coding RNA. RefSeq lists it as uncharacterized. The record is from RefSeq and is a predicted model, not a curated record. The transcript has 7 exons. NCBI's taxonomy places the organism in Eukaryota, Metazoa, Chordata, Mammalia, Carnivora, Felidae.
UCCUCAAGUCAGUGAAACACUUCUCACAGGGAAAUUAAUUUCAGAAUUACACCAACAUCUGAACAGAGACCAGACCGCCAGCUCCAGAAUGGACUAUAGCUCUUAAACAGUUCUUCAUUGACCAGAGUGACAUCUAGAUCCCUUGGUUUGAUAGAACUAGCUUGACAUCUGCUUAAAGAAGGAGCCAUUUACUUCCCAAUUUCAGCUUCUUGCUCUUGGAAAUACGAAAUGAGGACAGGAAGACUGCCCUUCUGAACCUCCUCUCUGUCAAAGGACUUCUAGGGAUUUUCAGCAUGUGGAGGAAGAUCAGAAAGUCUCCGCGGAACUUCUGCCAAGCUGCUGAAGUCACAGACUCUUCCCACACUCCCCUGGGUCUCGUCAAUUCUUAUCAAGGAUUCAGGGGUGGCAGCAGCAGCCUUCCCACUUCAGAAAAGGAAGUUGCAGAUUUGUCCUGUGACGAUGUUUGCGUGUGGUGACCACCAGAGGGAGCUACUUAAUGACCUUAAUGAUGGAGUGAGGGCAGAGCAGGAAGAAGUGCCCCUUUGAACUCUUGACUCCAAGCUCCUUGAGAAAGAAGCAUAUUGCUGGGAAUGAAAGAUCUCUAAUGAGACCAAAUGGCAGAACAAGAUUUCUCACCUCUAUAGCUCUGAGCUGGAGGGACCACCAAGUAUUUCCAGACAAGGAGGAACUGUCACCUCGCAUUGCUUGUGAAUCACUGCACAUCUGGUCCUCCUGCCCUGGGACAAGAACUGCAGCAGGAAAAGUCAAUGAGGACUACAUGAAGCCAAAGGUAGGAUAGUUUAUCUAACCUAGUAAAUAUUAAUAAUAAUAAUAAUAAUAAUAAUAAUAAUAAUAAUAUCUGAGUUUAAUUAUGUGGACAGCUUAGUAAAAUCAGGUGAGUUUGGGGUUUUGUAGACUUUAUGUUCUUAUUUAUAACUAUAGGCAGGCUUCAUGAUGUAUGGCCCAUAUAUUUACCUCUGGGAAUUGAGAGCUAGAAUCUUUAUUUGUUCUUAUAAAGGACUAACCAUCAUAAUGAUGGGAUGGAACUUAACAGAAGAGGGCAAAGUGUUACAUAAGAUAUUCCCCCACUGGAAUAGAGUAGUAGCUAAAGCAGAUUUUGAGGGCCCUGAAAUUAUAUUAAAUGUUUUUAAGUUGGUAAAGCCAUUCAAAUCAACUGUACUUAUAGGAAACAAUGGUUUGGCAAACCAAGAUUUGGGAAGCAAAAGAUAUAUCUCUGACAAGGUGAGCUGUGACUUGUCUGUUCCUUAACUCUUUGGCUACAUCCAAAAAACAUGGCAGCUUUGAGCUCAGAGAAAUAUCUAAAGGGAUAGAUGGCAAUAAAAAUAACCACUGUAUGUACUACAUUUUUGUAAAUUGGUCUUUUUGAAUUUGUUCAAUAGUUUGGAACAACAUAGGUGGUGUAUGAUGCUAACAUGGCUUCUCAUACUUUGGCAUUAAGAAUUGUCCAUGGUUCCCAACUGGUGAUAAUGACAGGGCGUAUU